Molecule: ribosomal RNA, 505 nt
Filed under: uncultured Polyangiaceae bacterium
Lineage: Bacteria; Pseudomonadati; Myxococcota; Polyangiales; Polyangiaceae
Description: bacterial SSU rRNA
Rfam family: Bacterial small subunit ribosomal RNA
Source: RNAcentral
AGAGUUUGAUCAUGGCUCAGAGCGAACGUUAGCGGCGGGCCUAACACAUGCAAGUCGAACGAGAAUGUAGGCUUCGGUCUACUAGUAAAGUGGCAGACGGGUGCGUAACACGUGGGUAAUCUACCUUCCGGCGGGGGACAACAGUCCGAAAGGAUUGCUAAUACCGCGUACGUCAGCGGUGCCUACGGGCACUGUUGGGAAAGACGGCCUCUCCUUGGAAGCUGUCACCGGAAGAUGAGCCCGCGCCCCAUCAGCUAGUUGGUGAGGUAAUGGCUCACCAAGGCUUAGACGGGUAGCUGGUCUGAGAGGAUGAUCAGCCACACUGGGACUGCGACACGGCCCAGACUCCUACGGGAGGCAGCAGUGGGGAAUAUUGGGCAAUGGGCGAAAGCCUGACCCAGCCACGCCGCGUGAGUGAUGAAGGCCUUCGGGUCGUAAAGCUCUGUGGGGAGGGACGAACAAAUCUGGGGCUAAUCACCCGGAUCCUGACGGUACCUCCUAGCAG